Long non-coding RNA from Aotus nancymaae (Ma's night monkey), 552 nucleotides. The record is from Ensembl. NCBI's taxonomy places the organism in Eukaryota, Metazoa, Chordata, Mammalia, Primates, Aotidae.
GUUCAGUGCAUCGUGGGUUUCAAUUUUCCUUUUAAAAGCAACGCCUAGAUAAAUUGAGGUCCAGCGGAGACCUACAUCAAAACUCUGCAGAGUAGAGGCGUUGAGGUCCAGGAGUCCAGGUCUCUUCAGGAAGGUGGGUGCUGGGAGGUGGCUCCAGAGAAGAGCUCCAGUCAUUCAAACAGAAACCUCCAGCCCCGACCUUGCUCUGCAGUGAGCACAUGACCAGUGACCACCCCGAGGGACUAGGGGUCUGCUUGGCCCCCAAGCUGGCUCAGAACUCAGGACAUUCCAAACCAACUGCCACUUAACGGCUGUGCCAGGAAUAAACUUUCCUUCAACUGACCAACUCUGCACGGGCAGCUAACGGAAGUUAACUGAAAAUGUGCCGUCGGGGCUGGUGCAUCAGUGGUUUGAUGAAUUAAAUCUAGGACCCAUCCAUCUUGCUGACGGCUGACCUGAGCAGCUACCUGAGCAGGCUGCACCGAGGCCUGCCUGAGAGUGCGCAGCACCUCAAUGAAGUCCACUGAAUGACUGGAAGCCACACCGACGAGC